This is a non-coding RNA of Cinara cedri, 319 nucleotides long. Lineage: Eukaryota; Metazoa; Arthropoda; Insecta; Hemiptera; Aphididae. The record is from the annotation of a GenBank genome assembly.
UAACAUUUAUAUAUGCAGAUAAAGGAUAUUUCUAAAACAGUCUUAAUGUAAGAAUCUGUGUGAAGCGUGAGGUUCACAUAGAUAUGUAGAAGGGGGCCUUAAUUAUCAUACAUAAGGUGAUUGAUUGGAAUCUUUAUAUUUUGUUUAAAUUUGACAAUUUGACCCUGACCCAUAGCUGUGUGCCAUAAGUCUAGAUAGGAGUGAGAAGUUGCUUAUAAAUGAGCAGCUUGGUAUUGAAGUUGAGUUAAGAAUGAUUACCUAACAAAUAAAUUUUAUUUUUUUUAUAAAUAUGCGGUUUUCGACUCUCAAUUUGUUCGCG